AGUUGAGACGCGUAGACCGGGCGGAAUGCGAGGCCGUUGGGGCGCAGAAUUUACACGACGGAUGGUGGGAGGGGGGGGAAAAAAACGGAUGCGCAUGCGUGAUUGGUCCGCGGACGGCUGGGAGCGGGGAGACGCAGGGAAAGGAUGCUAGGCCCCGGUCACUCUCAGCGGAGAAGACAGAACUGCGACGAAUGGAAGGGAUUAGCUAGUCGAGGGCGGAGUUACAUAGACCCUGGAAGAAUUUCACGUCUGGUGUCCCUUCGUGAGAGUGAAUCUUGAUACUUGGAUGGCUGAGCUCAGAUUCUGUAUGGACUGGCCAAUGAGCUUGAGUCGGUCUUCCUAUCUCUGCAUCCCGGUGCUGAAGUUACAGACACAGUGAUCCACCCAGCCCGGACAUGAAUACAGGAGGCCCAGACUUAGGUCCUCAUGCUUGUAUAGCAAGCUUUUCAUCCACUGAGCCAUUUCCCCAACUCUAGAAAUAACAUUUUCUUAUUUAUUUGUUUUUCUUUUAUGUGUAUGCAUAUCUAUGUAUAUGCAUAUGUACCAAAUGGGUUCCUGGUGCCGAAGAGAAGAUCAGAACAUGAUGUUGGAUCUCUUUGAACUGGAAUUACUGGUGGUUGAGCACUCCCAGAUGUAGGUGUUGGGGAUCGAAUCCAGGUCCUCUGAAAGAACAGCAAGUGCUGAGCCAUCUCUCCAGUGGCUGUCAGUAACAGUUCGAAGUACCAGAGACACGCAUGGGAUAUUGUAGAGGCAGAGGAAUAGCCUGACUGCCCUGGCGGGAGCAGGUUAAAAGAUAUAUGGGGAGAGAGAGAAGGGGGGAAAAAGAAAGAAGCUCUUGGCGUCCGCAGUAGUUCCAGUGCUGGAGAGGCAAGAGACGGGUGGAUCCCCUAGGACUCACUGGCCUGCCACCAUACUCUCAUAGGUAGGUCAAGGCCCAUGAGAGAACGCAUCUCAAAACCACACAAAACCAAGGUGGGCGUGAUCAGAGAAAUGACAGCCAUGGUUGCCCUCUGGCUCUCUGGCCUCCAUAUGUACCCUCCCCCCACAGAGAGAGAGAGAGAGAGAGAGAGAGAGAGAGAGAGAGAGAGAAAUUUUAGUCCAUUUUGAGACAUAUUGGAACUGAAAUGCGACCGGUGUCAAGACCUGAAGGAUGCUAGGCACACUUAUCUGGAAGCUGCAACUCCAGUUGCUGCCAAGGGUUGAAGUAUCCUGAUCCUAUCCCUACCUACACAAGAGCUGCAUGAGAGUUUUACACUAGAGGGCGCCAUUGCUGCAAAAUAUAGUUCAGGUACUGGAGAGACAGGAGUAGUUUGCAGGCCUGUGCCUGGCUGAUGUAGGUAAAUCAAAGAAUCACUUAUCCAAUAGGGGCAAUGAAGAUGUAAAGUGAGCAGGACACAGUUAAGAGUUAGCAUAUGGGGGGCUCAGAGGUUAAGAGCACUGUCUGCUCUCCCAGAGGUCCUGAGUUCAAUUCCCAGCAACCACAUGGUGGCUCACACUCAUCUGUAAUAGAAUCCAAUGCCCUCUUCUGGCCUGUAGACAUACAAGCAGGCAGAACACUGUAUACAUAAUUGAAUAAAUCUUUUAAAAAUU
This 1590-nucleotide long non-coding RNA is filed under the name Mus pahari (shrew mouse). RNAcentral's name for it is "lncRNA (MGP_PahariEiJ_G0004845.1)". Lineage: Eukaryota; Metazoa; Chordata; Mammalia; Rodentia; Muridae. The record is from RNAcentral.